This is a long non-coding RNA of Zea mays, 643 nucleotides long. RefSeq lists it as uncharacterized. The transcript has 2 exons. The record is from RefSeq and is a predicted model, not a curated record. Lineage: Eukaryota; Viridiplantae; Streptophyta; Magnoliopsida; Poales; Poaceae.
UCAGCCCCACGUGGCCACGGCUUAGAUGGCCCAGCCACGCCCAGUGCCCCCAUCCACCACCAUGCCCUAGCCCCACCGGCCAGGAGCAUCUUCUCCAACUUCCUGUGCCCAUGCCGCCAGGAAGAGCAGUGCCCGCCUCACAUCUCGGCCAGUUCAACCCCCCAAUUGCCCCCUUCCAUGCGCAGAAACCACCUCCACCGCCCAUCGCCCAGACCGCUAAUGCCCACACACGCAAUGCUCAGAGUUGCCCUCGCCUAGGUAGCCCCCACCUGCGUCGAUCUCUUCCCGCCAUGCACGAAGUCGUCCUCACCUCACCGGAGCAUCACCUUGCCAUCUAUGCACGGAAGCGCUCUCCAUUUCUGUCAAGUCUCGUUCUAAGGUUGUCCCCACUGCAACCAAUGCUCAGGAGAAUAUGAAUGCAAUGAGGUGGAUUUCUAGGACUUCCAGGACUUCGAGGAGUUCUAGACUUAGAUUAGCUCAAUCCCCAGUCAGUUGCCUGUGGAAGGCCUUUAUCUUAGCUACAUUCUGUUUCUAGCACUUUGAUACAUGUUAAGUCAAUGACUAUGUGGACGUCUUUGACAUAUGGUUGUAAUAAGUUUAAUACUCUUUAUGUUAUUAUUCGAGCACUGCACAAUGAUGUUCA